This 329-nucleotide ribosomal RNA is filed under the name uncultured eukaryote. RNAcentral describes it as "partial 18S ribosomal RNA". It matches the Rfam family "Eukaryotic small subunit ribosomal RNA", at positions 1470 to 1796 of the family's 1831-position model. The record is from RNAcentral.
CCCUUAGAUGUUCUGGGCCGCACGCGCGCUACACUGACGGAGGCAGCGAGCGUGUCCUUCGCCGGCAGGUGCGGGCAAUCUUGCGAGUCUCCGUCGUGCUGGGGAUAGAUGGUUGCAAUUGUCGAUCUUGAACGAGGAAUUCCUAGUAAGCGCGAGUCAUCAGCUCGCGCUGAUUACGUCCCCGCCCUUUGUACACACCGCCCGUCGCUACUACAGAGUGCCCGUGUCCAAGAAACGGUCGGACCUGUGCGGCCUCUCCGGGCGACCGGAGGGCCGUUACGGGGAAGACCCUUUAUUUGACGCGGGUCGAUGAAGUAAAAGUCGUAACA